GGUGGUUGUAGUUGUAGGGGCGGUGACGGUGGUGGUGGAUGUAGUUGUAGGGGCGGUGACGGUGGUGGUGGUUGUAGUCGUAGGUGCGGUGACGGUGGUGGUGGUUGUAGUUGAGGGGCGGUGACGGUGGUGGUGGUUGUAGUUGUGGGGCGGUGACGGUGGUGGUGGUUGUAGUUGCAGGGGCGGUGAAGGUGGUGGUUGCUGCGGUGGCCGUAGUUGUGGGGGCAGUGCUGGUGGUGGUUGUAGUGGUGGCGGCGGUGGCAUGUCGCUUCCUUCCACCGACAGCUCCGCGUGGGCCGCGGCGGGCUCUGACCCCUGAGGGAGGAGGAGGGGCGGGUGGAGCUGGGCCGGCGGCCUGAGCGCUGUCCUGCCGCCGAGCCCGCGGGGCGGCCGCACGUGCCGCGCUGCCGUUGGCUGGAGGGCCUGGAGGAGCCACCGCCCGGCCAGCCUGCGGGGUCGGGGCGUGCGGCUCUGCGGGUCCGGCCCUGGAGCUGAAGCGCCGUGGUCGCAGGUGGGGCUGCAGCGCUAACUUGGUUAUCCUGAGAACACGCGCUUUCUUGCCCUGGAGAAUUGCUGUUGAAGAGGGACAAGAGAGGAGGACAACGCAGGAGGAGAUAAGUAGCUCUGGCUGGACACAAGGGCACAAUAACUUAAAUGAAAUAGUAAGUAUAAAUGAAAAAUAAAAUAGAGGAAUCAAGAGCCCAAAGAACUUUUAAGGAAAGCUCAUUGAAUGGGUUACAUCACACUGACUGGUCUCCUGGCUCUCUUUGAAUCCACUCACGGCAUUCUACACAAAGAUGACAUGAACUUCUGCUUAUUCUCUCCCACUAUAGAAUUUGCUAGACUUUAGCUGUAGACAGCCUGACCUAAGCUGCAUGAGAACUUGAGACGGAAUCACUUCAGCCACAGAUUCUAAGUCCGAGAGGCGAGCUGUUUCCCCAGGAUAAACACAAGAAGGGUAGUUAACCAGAGAGUGGACUGGACUUUCUCAGAGCAAACGAUUUGAAAGUAACACCGUGGAAUGUUUGAGUUGGAUAAAUCUCCAUGAGUUCUAUCAGCAUAUUCUGAACUGAUGUCUGUUUUAAAGUCACGUUAUUUUUGAUGAUCCAUAUACUGUAACGUUGUAGUGAGGCAUUCUACACCUGGAGUUUUUCCUUAGGGUCUCAGCCUCACAGCCAAAGUGAACUGGAGUCCGGGCACGCUCCUCCGCUCACCUGCUGACACCUGUCUCUGGCCUCCGCAGUUGGAGAGAAGGCCAAACUCCUUAGCCUGGGCUGUGAGGACCCCUCGCCUGCCCUCUGCCCCACCCCCUGGCCUCACCUCCCUCCACCCACGUGCAUCUUUGGCUCCAGCUCUGCUGCCUUCUUGAGGGGCUCAGCAUACUUUAUCUUUGUCUUUCUUUCUCCAGCUGUGUGACCAUCCUUCCCGUUACACUUUACACUGUCCCUUCCCCUGCCCAAGCCUUCCAAAGCCCCUUAGCACCAUCUCAACCUAGCUGACUUUCUUCAACCUUCAAGACUCGGCCCAGCUGUCAGCCAACUCAGAAGUGUCUUUGGACCCACCACAGCACUUGUCACACUUAUUACAAUGGUUUACAUGUCUGUCUUAAAGAUUAGGCUGUCUUUCUUGAGGGCAAGCUUGAUACAUUCAUUUCUCAUCACUCAUAAUUUAAAACAUUGUUGACCUAUGACAGGCACUCACAAAUGUUGGUUGAAUGAAUGCAUGGACAAUAUCAACAGUCUGAAAUUGGGUGCCACUUUGGUUUAGAGGGUGGUCUCUCACCGUGGGAGGUUGUUUUCUCAUAUAUAGUAUUGACGGCUUUCUUUUCACUCAAAUGCUUUGUGCAUCAUGGAUCAAUAUAGCAAAUGAAAUUCAAGAACCAUUUGAAUAAACCAUUAUUAGAAAAUAACUUUAGGUGUAGACUAACUCCAUUCAUGUAUAUGCCUCUAAUUACACAAUUACUUCCUUCCAAAUAUAUUAGAUUCUUAAAAUUUCAGCUUUUUGUUAGCAAUUUGCAACCCAUCAUUUUUAUGCAUGUAACUUGCAUCCUGUCUUAUUUACCUUUUGCUCAUUUGAUUGAACUUAUGACUACAUGACCUACAAUUCAAGUAACUAACCUUCAGUAAUUAAAGUGAGGGUGAUCUUCUGUCUGCAAGCACAGUUCAGCCAUUGUUCUCAGUGAAUGCAGGAGCUGGAAGAAAGUCAUGUAGCUCAGAGAGUGAGAAGCUGGGUUUCACGUCUUCCCACACACAGAAAGGAAAGGUAUGCCAUCUCAACCCAUUUAAGGGGUGGAUGAAUCUUUUGACAUCAUUUUGGGAAAUGGUAGAAUAUUGAAAAUCCUAUGUUAACAGAAUCCAUGAGUGUACAAGGCCAAAGCCGUAGACCCAGGAAAAUCCUAGGACGUGCAGAGCAGGACGAGAACAAGAACUGAGCAGGCGGCGAGAAAGUAGCGUCACAUGGCCUCCGCACCGCCCAUGCAGCCCGGGUCCUAAAAGAGCCAUAACUCACUCCCAAGCUUGCUUUUGUGAUCUUUUCCUGAAACACAUUAUGGUAUCUUUAAACGAUGCUGGGUUUCCUGAAGCUUGUGCUGCUGACCACCAACCCCACCCUAGAGAGCACUGAGUGACAGAUACUGUAAACAUCCUACACUCUCAGCUGUGGAAAGUGAGAAAGCUGGGAGAAGGCUGUUUACUCUCUCUGCCUUGGAAAUCAACUAAAGAGAAAUGGAUCCGGAGUAUUUUUCUGUGGCUUGUAAUUGAUCCUAUCUGGUAUUUAUGUAUGAGGUUAACUCUAAAAGGAAAAAAAGUAAAUUGACUCAUGCUAACAAAUAUAAAAUAAUUUGUAAGAUUGAUCGUCUUUGAACUAACACCGUUUGAAAAAGAAAAAGAUUGCCGAAUACCCAAGAGAUAAAAGUUCAGGUAACUUGCACAAGGCUACAUUUUGUGGGCUGCUGUGGCCUGUUCUGUAAAAGCAGCAAAACAUUAAAUGCCUGCACAUUAAGCGUAGUGAUUCUGCAUCAACCUGGACAGCAUUUCUACACCGAGUUUUGACAGCAAAAGUCCUGGGACUUGCUGUUCUGUCAAGGAUUGGGUGCUGCUUGGAGCCGCAUGCUUAAGGAAUGGUUCCGAUGAACAGGAUGAAUAAGGCCUGCUAUUUAAAGCCAGAAUAUAGUUACACAUCUUGAGAAAAGAGAGGAUUGUGUGGGAGGCAGGUGGGAUGCAAGGAGAGAAUUUUAAGAGGAAUCUACAGAACUAACUCAUAGGUUCAGCCUUAACCAGAAAAACUAUGCUCUUCAUUUCUUCUUCCUUGUAAAUAAUUUAAAACAAAGAUUUAUUGAAUAUCUGGUCUAGAGUUUGACUUACCCAAAAUUUAAAUCCCUGUCUUGUUUUAUUUUCUAAUUAAUAUUAGAUGUUUUCACAGAGCAUACUUAAAUAAGGUAUAUUUAAUAUAGCAAGCCCUUAAAAAGAUUAAAAUAACUAACAAUGCUGCUUUGAAUAUUAAAUCUGGACACAAUUACUUGCAUAUAUUGUCUUAGUAUAUCAACAUAUGCCAGUCAUUUAAGCUAAGAUUGCUUUAAUACUGCUUUUAAAGUAUUAGAGGAACUUUUAAUUUCACCUCCUUGCUGAGUACAGAUUCUAGGACAAUAGGAACAAUUGUUUAUGUGAGUCUUACCAAAAAAAAAUGUGUAUAAAUAUGAUUACCUUAGCAUGUGCUUUCCAGGAAGUAUUUGAACAAGCUGGCCUUGCAGCAGUGGCAGACACUGUUGAAGUGCUUGCUGAGCACCUCCAGCUUGGGCGAGUCGUUAACCUUUUUAGAUUUUGCCUACAGGCUUAAGGAAGACCUCUUUGAGACAAUGCUUUAUAGUAUUCCCAAAGAAAUGGUUAUUGUGGACGUUUGCAGUUUUGCUUUCUGCCAAGAGGUGCAUAUAUGGGUGUGCGCAAAAGCAGCUCAGAGUGGAAGGGGAGCAAUGCCCCAUGUGCUUUUCCAUAGUUUUUAGUUACUCUGCCUGAAUGAAAAGGGGAAACAUUCGGUAUUCCUGAUGGAAGUUGAUUUUGACUUUCAGUCAUGAACGUAGCUGUUUCAAAGCUUAUUGGAAUACGUGCAGAUGUUCAUUCCAUCAUCCGAGAAGUAUUUAUUGAGCACCUGCUGUGUGCCACUUCUGCACGCUGGCGAUAGAGCAGUGCACAGAAACGAAAUCCUUACUCUCGUGAGCCUACAGAUAGAUAGCUAUGAUGUGUCGGGACAUAAAUCUUGUUUGUGUAUGUAUCUAAACUAUCUAAUUCUAGUCAAUGGUGUUCUUGCCUUUUUCAGUCUUUCAAAACUAACUAAAUGAAUUUAGAUAUUCUGGAACAUUGACUUCAUUGUUUAUGAAAAACCUCUAGAUAUAAAUUUACAUAAUAAUAUUAGCUUUUGUAUUUAGCACUGUUCUUCCAAGUAUGUUUUCAUUGUUACUAGCCUGUUUUGCAACACAGGUAAGUGUAUUAAUAAACAUGCUUGAGAGGUCACUGUUAUGUAAAUAUAUUUACUGAAGAUACUGCUAAACAGGGAUAUAAUAUAAAAGCUUAAAUGUAUAUGUUUAUAUACAUGUUAAAUAUACAUUCAGAUUAUCAUCGUGUAUAAUAAAGGUGAAUUUUACUAACUAGACCUCACUCUGUUCAAGUUUAUAGUUUUCUAGAUACUGCUAAGAACAAUUUAUAUUUGUGUAUUUGUUGUUUGCUAAGGAAAUGCUAUAAAUACUUAAAAAAACAAAAUUUUUAAGUGUAAAAAUCCAUUUAUAUUUGAAAAAACAAAUUCUGACAAUUCUUUGCGAGCUUAACUGUGUACAUGAAAACUUAGAAAUAAAAGUCUAAUGUGUACUUUGUUUAUGAAUUCAUGGUCUCCUUGUCCCUAUUUGUUUAAGUUAGUAAGUCUUUGUAAUAUAAAUAUUUUUAGAUCUUUCGGUGAUCUAUUUCUAUAAAACUGCUGAGGCUUCUGUUUCUCUGGAUUUAAAUAUAGUUCCUCUCUCUUCAUUUUGAAACCACAGAGGGCAGGUUACCAGUCAGUCCACCACAGUGGCCCUUGGUUGUUGUUUCGGUUAACUCAGUGAAAAGCUAUGUGGAUAAUAUACAAAAAGCAGUUGUAUAUCUAUGUAUCAGCAACAAACAAAUAAAAAUGAAAUUAAAAAAAUACCAUUUACUGACAAAUAGAAAUGGCAAGCAAUAGGAUAUAUUGGAGAAUAUGAGUAAGCCAUUUGACAUAAACCUAAUUCGGCCUAACUUUGUUUUUUCCAAAAGGGCCUGACUGUGGCUGUUGAGCAAGCGUUGCAUAUCUGCUUUAAACAUUUGCUAUGGCAAGAACAAAUGCCCUUAAGAUAAAGGUGCAACUUCCCCCAACAUUGGCAUUUCCUUAAGGAUAAGCAUCUCUCCCUAGGCUAGGAACUGACUGCUGUGCUCACCUGUGACCACCCAGCUUGAGACAGCAGAACUGCCACCCUACUGUGUCCACUGAGACAGCAGACCUACUACCUGCUGUUUCCAUCAAUCACUGUGCCAACAGAGCAGUCUCACAACUAUUGUAAAAGGGACAUUUCAAUCAUAUGUGAAACAUCCUCUUUGAGGAUACAUAACCACUCUGUGUACCCCACUUCUUUGGUGCCCUUUCUUUCGUCCUUCGGGAAGAAAGGCCCCAGGCCAUGGUCCUCACAUAUUGGCUCAGAAUCAACUUACCCAAAUUUUCUUUUAUCGAUUGGUUAUGGAUUAUUUUCGUCGACAUACAAUAGCAACAGAAACUGUGAAAUACCCCAAGGAUAAAUCUAGCAAAAGUUUUAUGAGACCUCUACAAUGGAAAUUAAACUCUAUUGAUUGAAAUUAAAGAAGAUGUGAAUAAAAUGGAGAGACACGCCAUGGCAAACAGGACUCAGCACUGUCCAGUGGCCGGUUCUCCCCGGGAGGGUCAAGUGGAUUCCAUGCAGCCUCAGGCAGGUCUGAGCGGACAUGUAUGUGCACAUUCGUGUUUGGAAACUGAUAGGCUAGUCCUAAAAUUUACAGUUUAAGUGACAAAGAAUAACAAGGCAGUCUUGAAGAAAAGGUGGAGAAAUUACCCUCCCACAUGUCAAGAUCUAUUAUAAAGUCAUAAAGUCAUAGUGUGGUAUUUGUGUAGCAACAAACAGAUAGCAGAUGGACGAACAAAUAGAGACACAUUACAAUGCAGACGACGCUGGGUGCACUGGAGGGAGGACAGUCACUCGAUAAGCAGUGCGAGGUCAAUCUGGUACCCUUACUGAAAACAACGAACUUUUGGCCUCUACUUCACACCAUUCAUAAAAAUCAAUUCCAGAUGGGUUGUAGAUCCAAAUAUGAAUAAAGCUUCUAGAAAAAAAUAUAGAACAUCUUUAUGAUCUUGGAGUUGGCAAAAUUUCAUUUAAAAGUUCACAAGACAACACUAACCAGAAAUAAUAAUUUGGAAAAUAAUAUCAUCAAGAAUUUCCGACACCAAAAGACAUCACUAAGAAAAUGAAAAGACAAUGUAUAGUGGCUGGCCCGGUGGUGUAGUGGUUAAGUUCAUGCUCUCUGUUUCAGCAGCCCAGGUUCGCAGGUUUGGCAGACCUGCACCACUCAUCAAGCCAUGCUGUGGCAGCAUCCCACAUGCAAACUAGAGGAAGACUGGCACAGAUGUUAGCUCAGGGUGAAUCUUCCUCAAGCAAACAAAAGAGGAAGAUUAGCAACAGGACCAAUCUUCCACAGCAAAAAAAAAUAAAAAUAAAAAAGACAAUAUAUAGAAGAGAAGAUAUUUGCAACAAAUAUAACAAACUUGUACCCAGGAUAUCUAAAGAAUUCCUUCUAACUAAUAAGACAGACAACCCAGUAGAAAAAUGGGCUAAGACUGGAACAAAAAGAGGAUAUAUUAAUAAUUAACAUAAAAAGUUACUCAGCCUCAUUAGUUAUCAAGUAAAUGCAAAUUGAAAUCACAGUUCAGUGCCACGACACUUACAAGAAUACGUAAAAUUAAAAGGAAAAAAAUAUAUCUAAUGUUGGCAAGGAUGUGGAGCAACACUGCAGGGCAGCCCUAGGUGGGACAGCCAUAACAAUGGGAAAGUGCUUGGUGGCAUCUCCGCAAGCUGGAUAUAGCCAUACCCUACGUCUCAGCUCUCGUUUUCUACCACAGAAAUUUGUAGAGUGUUCUCCAAAAGAAAUGAAUAAUAGCGCUAUUGGUAAUAGCCCCAAAUUGGGACCUGCCCAGAUGCCCAUUAACAGUAGGAUUUAUACAUUGUGGAUUAUUCAUACAACAGAAUACCACACAGCAGGAGAAUGAACAAUUUACAACGUUACAUGAACUUAUCAGUGAAUCUCACAAACAUAAUGUUGACUGAAAUAAGCCGGACACAAAAGAGGGCAUGCUGUAUGUUUCUAUUUAUGUGAAUUUCCAUCAGGCGAAUCUACUGUACCUGGACGGUGACAGCAGUCAGGGUGCAGUUGCCUCAGGGCACGGGAAACGGCCCGAGGGUCAGGAUUCUGGGGGGAGUGGUAACACGUCGAUUCUUGGUCUAACUACUGGUUACACAGGUGUGUCACCUGAUGAAAAGUCUUCAAGUCGAAAUUUAUUUUUGUACUUUUGUGAUUGUGUAUUACACUUUAAUGACACAAAAAUUAAAUUAAAAAUUUUCAAAAGCUAAAUGUUGAAAAAUUAAAGCUAAAUCACCUGACCUUAAAUUCAACAGGUAGAACUCUCAUUCAAGCAGUCACUAAGAGAAAUUCUUCCAGGUCAUCUUUCUCUCAAAAUAGAGCAACAGCACACAUUUUUGAGGAACGUUCUCUGAAACUGGCACAAACUGUUCCACCAUCCAGAAGUUUACGUAGCAAAUGGACUUUUAAGCAAGCAUCCUCUUUUCUUCAAGACGCGAUACUAUUUCACAGAGCGCCACUCCCCUCUAAAGCUCCCUGUUCCAAUUCAAUCCCAUUUUCUGACACGUCCCCAAAUCCCUGGCAGCUCAGGAAGACAUGGCGGAGGCCCGAAGGCUGCAGCUGUGGCCCCGCUCCUGCCUCUCUUCAGCCACGUGUGUUGCGGGAAGCGGGUCCAGGCUCGAAGAGCUGAAGUGACCUCCCCGGGGCCGUGCGGGCGUCAGGAGCCGCGCCAGGACUGAGGGCGCCGCUGCUGCAGUGCUGGCUGGACUCAGGGGGCCUCGGAGCGUUCCCACAGCCAGGUGAGCCAGGACUGCGCUAGAACACGCAAGCCCCCCGCCACUCAGACGCAAGAACAUGAAUACACUGUACAUUCAGCAUUCUUAGUUUUCAUUUUUAGGAUAGUUAUUGGGAUUGAAUUGUUGUCUUUUCUUUGAACAAAAGAAUGUUCUGUGCUUGUUAAAACUGUCUUUUAAAGUUUUCUUUUUAUUAAGAAAAGAAGAAGGCUUCAACUUCAAACACCAGCUUGAGGAAACUUUUGUAUUUAGCCAACAUUCAAGAGCCUGGACUGCGUCACACAGCCGGUCACGUGUACUGACAAGCUGCCUUGCGUGCUUCUCGUCUGAGGACAGUGCAGCCCGUGAGGGUGCCGGAAGACGUGUGCAGGCAUUUCUGGUUGUGACAAUAAGUGGGUAAUGCCACCCCAUGAGACCUGGGACAUCCCACACAACAAAAAAUAAUUUUGGCCCAAAUAAUAGCAGUCCUCCAAGAUACACUUACGCAUUCUUAAAUACAGGUUACUUUUAGGAAGAUCUGAACGGUCCACACUUCAGAGUAUUCAGUUUCACACCCCUCUGGGGGUCCUGCCUGGAAGCCCCGAGUUCUGAAAGAUCCACACGUGCUGAUCUGGAUGAUCUUAAAAACAAUCAUAAUUAGAGAAUAAAAAUUGCCUCCAGACUGACUUGAAAGGUAUCCUGUGAUCUUAGAGUGACUGCCAAAUGUUCUGUAGUGUAGAGUUCAUCCAAAGCAUUGUCACCAAAAGCCAAGGAUGGCCUUAAAGUGCUUCCUUUCUGGCUCAGAGAGGAAAGGACAUCCCGUGCUACCCUCCCAGCCUCGGAGGGUGAGCCCGUUAUUUCUGCAGUUGGGUGACACUCAUUACCUGAGAAUCCACAGCUUUUAGGACUUGGCUGUCUAGCUCAGUCGCUGGAGAACUGUGAAUUUCUGGAUGUGCUAAGAAGCUUUCAACACCUAGGCUUCCACAUUCCUAAAAAAAACACGUCCUUAAAACAGUCUUUGAAUUUUAAAACAGCUCACUCGGAUUUGGUGGUGUCGCCAGCCCCUCUGGGAGGGUGGAGGCAGCCGUGUCCCUGCCGCCCUCCCGCGGGGUCACUGCAGAGCGCCCACCGUCCUCCGCAGACACCGCCCGACUCCGGAACAGGCCGGCACCCUGGACAACAGGGGACAGUGGGCAGGUGUCCCACCCCCGGAGCGUCUGGUUUUGUGGAGCCUGCGCCUGCUGCCCUGACUGCGAAGCUGUCUGAGUUCUUGAUGGUCCCCUCCCGCUCACUCGCCGGGUCGGACUGGAUUUCACUGACCCCCUUAUUUCACAAGCAUCCCCUCAGUCCGUGCUGGGCCAGCCACACGGCUCCCAUUCUGGCCCUGGUCAGCAUUGUGGUCGCCGCCAGGAGUCUCGAAGGAUUCCCUGAGCUCCUGAAGCCACAUCCGGGCCGGAAGCAAACACUUGGCGUCCUUACUGUGUGCGAGGCGCUCUUCUAAACAUUUGAUUAUAUUAACUGAUUUAAUCCUCACAAAUAAUAGGCACAAAUAUUGUCUUUCAGAUAAAGAAUCUGAGGUGUGAGAAAUUGAGAAAACUACCCAAAGUUGUGCUGACGAGCCUUAGAGCUGGGAUUCCAGCCCCGGCAGUGUGGACCAGAGAUGUGCUCCUAAGCAUUAAGCAAUACGCACAAGUUUCCUCUCAGUGAGGGACUGUGUCUCAGUGUUUCCAGAGGAGGAAGCUGAAGUGGGGAAGUUAAGAAAGUGUAGUGGUCACUGAGGUCCACACACAGCUCAGUCUCCUCUCCUCCCGGCCGUGAGAAGAUGGGCUUCUCCACACCUUCUGAGGGGAGGGGUGUCUUGCUUUAGUCAAUGAGAUGUGACCACAAGUGCCAGGGAACCACUCAGAGUCCAUGUCCCAUUCACCUGCUCCUGCCCACUGCGUUGGUGCGGCACUUGUCACAGUGGAGCCUUCGCUGCUCUGGCCCCUGGAGUGACCGUGUGGAACAGCGUCCCUCGCUGGACCAGCCUUGGACUUACAGACAAAGGAAACGUUUGCUCUGGUAAACUGAGAUUUGGGUUGAGGAGGGAGAAGGAGAGAGUUUGUAGCCAUAACAUACUCCAGCCUCAACUUAACAACUCGCCCUAACUCCUUUAGCUUGCUGGUGCCAGACGUGUCUCACAUCCCAGCCUCUAACCCCACAAGUCGUGUUUUUCAUUUAGUCUCUCUCUCUUGGUGUUACAUGACCUGCAGAAACCUAAUCUUAGUUCUUUUGCUUGCCUUUAAUUUUACGGUUAUAAUCAAAGUGCUUAAGAAGUGCAAUCUGACGUCUGCGGUUAGUCCAAAAUGCAUAGAAUGUAGAAGAAAGUUUCUAUCCUUCUCUGUCCAUGUGUUUGGUCUGAAGCUGAAUGUCACGAGUUCCUGUCACUGGAGAUAUUCAAGCAGGAGUUUCGGCAGCCGCUGGGUGUGUGUUACAGCAGUGGUCUAACCAGCAGAAACCUGAGAGCCACUUCAGUCCUGAGAGUUUGUUCAACGUGCAUCAGCAAUUCCCAGGCAUACCACUUACCAGCUUCUUGGGUAUCACUUAACUUCUCUGGGCCUCAGUUUCCUCCUAUUCAAAGAACAGCUUUAUAAUAACUUAUAAAGCUGUUAGAGAGAUUAAAUGAGGUUGAAGAACAAUAGCGGUAUCCUGAUUCCAACUCUCCCCAUCACAUUCCCAAAAUAACCACCAGAGCAACAAGGGGAGCGGAUAGAACUGCACAGGACCCAUGACUUAAGCAUUGUUAGGAGACAGAAAACACUGCAACCUUCAAGUCUCUUAUGAGGAAAGAAAGAAAAAAUUCUAACAAAGCUUCCAAUACCUGCAAACCACCCCAGCAAAGCUGUAUCCACCUAGAAUUAUUAUUGCCAGUCGCACUCGGCUGGUGACCACAGCUUAUGUCAGCAGCCAUGACGCCGUGUCCCAGCUGCGGGACAGCCCACCUGAGGGACAGCAGAGGAGGCAGAAGAGACCCUCACUCCCAGAGCUGCCGCUGCCGGAAACAGGCCUUCCCGUGCCUGGGCGUGGUCUGGGCUCCAUCCACAGGAGCAGUCUUCUGGGAAGCAGGGCCAGCCCAGUCACCAACCGGACAGGCCAGGCUGGUGAGGGCGGAAAACGUCAUCUGAAAGCCGUCCUUCCCAGGGCUUCAGAAAAGGCGAGACUGCCCACCGACGGCCCAAGAAAGACCUGUGUGUCCUGCAGCCUCGAGCUCUGCUUUGCAGGCCUGAGCUCACCACUGUCUGGCAGGCGUCUCUUGCUUCUGAGGCGCCCCUAAAGCACUUUCGCUCUCUGUAGGCGCUUUGACGGCAGCUUCUGCGGGUGGAUUCUGGCCCACAGGAGAGGCUCAGAUGACCGAGUUAGAAUUUGAGGCUCAUCCAGUGUUAAUCUUAGUUGUGUGCACAGUAUCACCCCCAGUUUUAAUGUUUGCUCAAUACUCUUUUCUCUGGAUGAAAAGAGAAGGGAGACUCACACAUCCUGGAGGAAACAUAGGUUUUCUUCUUUUGUCUAUCCCUGAACGGCCAAGGACAGUGCUUUCAAGUGGCUUAUGGAAAGGAUUGAGAGUCGAGGGUAAAGAAGACAGAGAGAAGCUGCUUCCGUUGUCAGCCUCUGAAGUCCAUGAACAGUGAAAGUUCAGCUGAGGUCUACAAAAAUAUUAGCAAUGCCAAAAGGCCGGCAGCCAGGAUGUGUCUUUGUGCAGGAACUGAAUGGCUACCCCAGCUGGAAAAGUUUAAAAACCCUGGCAGGGGUGGAACAGUCCUAUAAAAAAGACAGUGAGAAAGAAGUGUUUCUGAAAUAAUUAGAUUUAUGAACCUGUAAAAGAACGUUCUCCACAGACUCUAAGCCUCCUAACGGGGACGUCUCAGGCAAACAGAGUCAUUCCGUAAAUCAACCGGCAACGUGAAAAACAAGUGUUCUCAGACCUGCAGAUCUGUGGACCCAUCAUUUCAAGAGUAUUUCAUUUAAAAAGUACCACAUCUAUUUGGAAAUUGCCUGAUCUACUGAUCGGUAAACUCUCACUGUCUAGAAGUUUUAAGAGGGAGAGUGAGUGCUUUAAACAGGUCGACGAUGCACUGGGGCGUACCUCUCUUGUCUUGGUCCGAUUCCCACUAGGAGCCUAUGACCUCAGACUUGUUACUUAAUCACAAUUUCCUCCCGAAUCGUCUUUGUAAUCAUCGUCGUCAUCACCUCAAGGAAGACGCCUGCUUUCAAGCAGCUUCCACUCUGUUCUAGCUGAAAUAAGGAUCACAAAUUGCUUUACUGCUGUCACUGCAGAGCCGUUACGGAAUCUUUCUGAGGAAUUAUAAAG
This 12497-nucleotide long non-coding RNA is filed under the name Equus caballus (horse). Its description in RNAcentral is "lncRNA (ENSECAG00000044506.1)". The stretch from base 2626 to 2701 matches the Rfam family "mir-30 microRNA precursor family". Lineage: Eukaryota; Metazoa; Chordata; Mammalia; Perissodactyla; Equidae. The record is from RNAcentral.